This 400-nucleotide ribosomal RNA is filed under the name uncultured bacterium. RNAcentral's name for it is "bacterial SSU rRNA". It matches the Rfam family "Bacterial small subunit ribosomal RNA", at positions 356 to 773 of the family's 1533-position model. The record is from RNAcentral.
GGGGAAUAUUGCACAAUGGGCGCAAGCCUGAUGCAGCAACGCCGCGUGAAGGAGGAAGGCCUUCGGGUCGUAAACUUCUGUCCAAAGGGAAGAAGAAUGACGGUACCUUUGGAGGAAGCCCCGGCUAACUACGUGCCAGCAGCCGCGGUAACACGUAGGGGGCGAGCGUUAUCCGGAAUUACUGGGCGUAAAGAGUGCGUAGGUGGCUUUGCAAGCGUAGGGUAUAAGGCGACAGCCCAACGGUCGGUGGCCCCGCGAACUGUAAGGCUUGAGGACAGGAGGGGAAGGCGGAAUUCCUAGUGUAGCGGUGAAAUGCGUAGAUAUUAGGAGGAACACCAGUGGCGAAGGCGGCCUUCUGGACUGUAACUGACACUGAGGCACGAAAGCGUGGGUAGCAAAC